This is a non-coding RNA of Bemisia tabaci, 2410 nucleotides long. NCBI's taxonomy places the organism in Eukaryota, Metazoa, Arthropoda, Insecta, Hemiptera, Aleyrodidae. The record is from RefSeq and is a predicted model, not a curated record.
CCGAGCUUUUGAGCGAUGCAUCAGUUUGGUGGAGGUACACCAUUCGGGUCUGUGACUGGUUUCCGGGCGAUGUUUUCCAACGUGAUCUGCAGCGCCGUCACUGCGACGGUGCUGCUUUUGGCGGCCGCUCCGCCAAGCUGCUGGAGUUACGGUAUCGCUGGGGAAAUUCCCAAGUGGUGGCAAAACACUAUAAUUUACGAGAUCUACCCGCAAUCCUUCUAUGACUCGGAUAAUGAUGGAUUUGGAGACUUGAGAGGAGUUGCGGAAAAAGUUAGCUAUUUGCAGGAACUGAGAGUCGGAGCUAUAUGGCUCAAUCCCUUUUACAAGUCACCGUUGAAGGACAAUGGUUACGAUGUCAGUGAUUUCCGAAAAAUAGAUAAAAGAUACGGCACCAUGGAGGACUUUGAGUAUCUAUUGGAAACUCUCAAGUACACGUCGGGAUCGAAUCCCAUUGAACUCAUCAUGGACUUCGUCCCAAAUCACACGAGCGAUCAGCACGAAUGGUUCAAGAAGUCCGUACAGAAAAUAGAGCCGUACACAGAUUAUUACGUAUGGAAGGAUCCCAAGGGCUAUGACGGGGAAGGAAAACCUAUUCCACCAAAUAACUGGGAAUCCAUCUUUGCCGUCGGUCGACCCGGGUCUGCAUGGGAAUGGAACCCGGAAAGGAAGCAAUUCUACUACCACGCCUUCAUGGUUGAGCAGCCUGAUUUGAAUUUCCGUAACCCAAAAGUCAUUGAAGAGUUAAAGGAUAUCAUGAAGUUCUGGAUGGACAAAGGUGUGCAAGGUUGGAGGCUGGAUGCUGUACCUCAUUUGAUUGAAGACGAAGAACUAAGGGAUGAACACGGAAAUCACGACAAAACUCAAAACCUACCCGAGACUUACAAGAUCAUCGAAGAUUUCAGAGCUUUCAUCGAUGCGUACAGCGAAGAGAAUUAUGUUAAUAUAUUCUUGACAACCGAGGGCUACGCUGGACCUCAAGAAACAGUCAAGUACUAUGGCACAGACGGUCGCGUCGGAGCACAUUUCCCUUUCAACUUCUUACUUCUCACUGACUUCAAUGCCGAGACAAAAGCACUGAACAUCAAGAACACCAUUCAGAGCUACUUGGAUCGUCUAGAUGACUUCAAGUUCCCCAAUUGGGUGUCUGGUAAUCACGAUUGGCCACGAAUUCCAUCCCGCAUGGGUGCAUCGUCUGCCACGGACAUCGUGAACAUCAUGAACCUGCUCCUCCCUGGAACAUCCACAGUAUUCAUGGGUGACGAACUAGGAAUGGACAGUUAUUGGAACUUGGACAGGGAAGCUUGUCCAUCUGGUGUUGGGGACGACUACCGUACUCCCGCAAGGACUCCCUUCCACUGGAACUCCUCUAAGAAUGCAGGUUUUACGCAGGCCAGCAAACCAUGGGUACCGGUGAACCCCGAAUACUACCGCACUAAUGUCGAGGUGGAAAGAACUUUACGCUCUAAAUAUCAGACCUCUCACUUGGAGAACUUUAAGAGUCUCGCAGCCCUCAAGAGAGAAAAUGCUUUCAUGUAUGGCGAACUUAAAAUGUACGAUUUAACCGAAUACGUCUUCGCUUUCACAAGACAGGACGAUAAUAACAUCUACCUGGCCAUAAUGAAUCUUGGCAAAGGUUUCAGUGAUCCGUUUGUUCUGGAAAGAGAGAUCCCGGAUCUGGCACAGGCUUCCCCUCGGAAAAUCGUGAUGAGAAGUGUCAACUUGCAGUCCGAAUGCAGCAACGUCUCUUCCUGUUACGACAGUCUUACCUCUGGUGAAUGGAGCAUGCCACCGAAAUCAGGAAUGGUUCUCUCCUUCAGAAAUUCCGCCACUGACUCCUCAAAAAGUAAGUUGAUGGAGUAUUUUGAAAGCUUCCGCGCUUUUUUAGAGAGCCUUCAAAUGGACGUCAGCUUGCCAGACCCCUCAGAGCUCUUCCAAGCGUAGCCCCAAAGAAUUCAUCCGGAAACGAGGAGAUUUUGGGAUUCAGUACUCACAAACCACUCUUCCAAAAGAGCUGGCGCCCAUCCCGAAGAAACACUCCUAUCUCAGGCUGGAAAAAAUAAAAACGGAGGACGCAGUAACGGCGGUAACGGUGGUAACGGUGGUGGACGUGCAGGCGGAGGCGGCGGAGGCGGUGGUGGACGUGCAGGCGGAGGCGGCGGAGGCGGAGUUGAUUCCAUAAUCGUCCCACAUGGCCCCCACGGCCCAGGCUGCACUUGCUCCGAGGAAGAUCCUCACGAUCACUUCAACUGGUAACAUCACCCCUCCUCUCUCCGCCCCCCAAAAAACAAAUGCUGCAUUCGGAACAUGCACAACGCACACCAUCAACAUCUUUGACACCGGAUAGCUCCGCGCUUUUCCCAUUAUUUGUAAAACAUAAGCUGUGAAAUACAUUUGUAGCAUGCACAUCGCA